AUUGGACGCUGGCGGCAGGCUUAACACAUGCAAGUCGAGCGGGGGAAGGUAGCUUGCUACCGGACCUAGCGGCGGACGGGUGAGUAAUGCUUAGGAAUCUGCCUAUUAGUGGGGGACAACAUCUCGAAAGGGAUGCUAAUACCGCAUACGUCCUACGGGAGAAAGCAGGGGAUCUUCGGACCUUGCGCUAAUAGAUGAGUCUAAGUCGGAUUAGCUAGUUGGUGGGGUAAAGGUCUACCAAGGCGACGAUCUGUAGCGGGUCUGAGAGGAUGAUCCGCCACACUGGGACUGAGACACGGCCCAGACUCCUACGGGAGGCAGCAGUGGGGAAUAUUGGACAAUGGGGGGGACCCUGAUCCAGCCAUGCCGCGUGUGUGAAGAAGGCCUUAUGGUUGUAAAGCACUUUAAGCGAGGAGGAGGCUACUUUAGUUAAUACCUAGAGAUAGUGGACGUUACUCGCAGAAUAAGCACCGGCUAACUCUGUGCCAGCCGCCGCGGUAA
This 501-nucleotide ribosomal RNA is filed under the name uncultured bacterium. Its description in RNAcentral is "partial 16S ribosomal RNA". It matches the Rfam family "Bacterial small subunit ribosomal RNA", at positions 30 to 523 of the family's 1533-position model. The record is from RNAcentral.